This 423-nucleotide small RNA is filed under the name Spisula solidissima (Atlantic surf clam). RNAcentral describes it as "cnRNA238". The record is from RNAcentral. Lineage: Eukaryota; Metazoa; Mollusca; Bivalvia; Venerida; Mactridae.
ACCACAGCAUUCGACCACAGCAUUCAACCACAGCAUUCGACCACAUCAUUCAAUCACAGCAUUCGACCACAGCAUUCGACUACAUUAUUCAACCACAUCAUUCGACCACAACAUUCAACCACAGCAUUCGACAUUCGAUCACAGCAUUCGACUACAGCAUUCAACCACAGCAUUCGACCACAGCAUUCGGCCACAGCAUUCAACCACAGCAUUCAACCACAUCAUUCGACCACAAUAUUCGACCACAGCAUUCAACCACAGCAUUCGACCACAGUAUUCAACCACAACAUUCGACCACAACAUUCGACCACAGCAUUUAACCACAACAUUCGACAUUCGAUCACAGCAUUCGACUACAGCAUUCAACCACAAUAUUCGACCACAGCAUUCAACCAGAGCAUUCGACAUUCGACCAAAGCAUUC